This 253-nucleotide ribosomal RNA is filed under the name uncultured bacterium. RNAcentral's name for it is "partial 16S ribosomal RNA". It matches the Rfam family "Bacterial small subunit ribosomal RNA", at positions 524 to 776 of the family's 1533-position model. The record is from RNAcentral.
UACAGAGGUUGCAAGCGUUGUUCGGAUUUAUUGGGCGUAAAGGGUCCGUAGGCGGUUCGUAAAGUCUGAUGUGAAAUCCCACAGCUCAACUGUGGAACUGCAUUGGAAACUCACGAACUAGAGUAUGAGAGGGGUAAAAGGAAUUCCCGGUGUAAGGGUGAAAUCUGCAGAGAUCGGGAGGAACACCAGUCGCGAAGGCGUUUUACUGGCUCAUUACUGACGCUCAGGGACGAAAGCUAGGGUAGCAAACGGG